GAUGAACGCUGGCGGCGUGCCUAAUACAUGCAAGUCGAGCGAAUGGAUUAAGAGCUUGCUCUUAUGAAGUUAGCGGCGGACGGGUGAGUAACACGUGGGUAACCUGCCCAUAAGACUGGGAUAACUCCGGGAAACCGGGGCUAAUACCGGAUAACAUUUUGAACCGCAUGGUUCGAAAUUGAAAGGCGGCUUCGGCUGUCACUUAUGGAUGGACCCGCGUCGCAUUAGCUAGUUGGUGAGGUAACGGCUCACCAAGGCAACGAUGCGUAGCCGGCCUGAGAGUGUGAUCGGCCACACUGGGACUGAGACACGGCCCAGACUCCUUCGGGAGGCAGCAGUAGGGAAUCUUCCGCAAUGGACGAAAGUCUGACGGAGCAACGCCGCGUGAGUGAUGAAGGCUUUCGGGUCGUAAAACUCUGUUGUUAGGGAAGAACAAGUGCUAGUUGAAUAAGCUGGCACCUUGACGGUACCUAACCAGAAAGCCACGGCUAACUACGUGCCAGCAGCCGCGGUAA
Molecule: ribosomal RNA, 515 nt
Filed under: uncultured bacterium
Lineage: Bacteria
Description: partial 16S ribosomal RNA
Rfam family: Bacterial small subunit ribosomal RNA
Source: RNAcentral